RNAcentral lists this ribosomal RNA (465 nucleotides) under Vreelandella stevensii. RNAcentral's name for it is "partial 16S ribosomal RNA". It matches the Rfam family "Bacterial small subunit ribosomal RNA", at positions 338 to 795 of the family's 1533-position model. The record is from RNAcentral. Lineage: Bacteria; Pseudomonadati; Pseudomonadota; Gammaproteobacteria; Oceanospirillales; Halomonadaceae.
CCUACGGGGGGCAGCAGUGGGGAAUAUUGGACAAUGGGCGAAAGCCUGAUCCAGCCAUGCCGCGUGUGUGAAGAAGGCCUUCGGGUUGUAAAGCACUUUCAGUGGGGAAGAAAGCCUUGGGGCUAAUACCCUCGAGGAAGGACAUCACCCACAGAAGAAGCACCGGCUAACUCCGUGCCAGCAGCCGCGGUAAUACGGAGGGUGCGAGCGUUAAUCGGAAUUACUGGGCGUAAAGCGCGCGUAGGCGGUCUGAUAAGCCGGUUGCGAAAGCCCCGGGCUCAACCUGGGAACGGCAUCCGGAACUGUCAGGCUAGAGUGCAGGAGAGGAAGGUAGAAUUCCCGGUGUAGCGGUGAAAUGCGUAGAGAUCGGGAGGAAUACCAGUGGCGAAGGCGGCCUUCUGGACUGACACUGACGCUGAGGUGCGAAAGCGUGGGUAGCAAACAGGAUUAGAUACCCGAGUAGUC